RNAcentral lists this ribosomal RNA (421 nucleotides) under uncultured Proteiniphilum sp. RNAcentral's name for it is "bacterial SSU rRNA". It matches the Rfam family "Bacterial small subunit ribosomal RNA", at positions 356 to 774 of the family's 1533-position model. The record is from RNAcentral. Lineage: Bacteria; Pseudomonadati; Bacteroidota; Bacteroidia; Bacteroidales; Dysgonomonadaceae.
GAGGAAUAUUGGUCAAUGGACGCAAGUCUGAACCAGCCACGUCGCGUGAAGGAAGACGGCCCUACGGGUUGUAAACUUCUUUUAUACGGGAAUAAAGUGCCCCACGUGUGGGGUUUUGCAUGUACCGUAUGAAUAAGGAUCGGCUAACUCCGUGCCAGCAGCCGCGGUAAUACGGUGGAUCCGAGCGUUAUCCGGAUUUAUUGGGUUUAAAGGGUGCUCAGGCGGGGGGUUAAGUCGGCGGAGAAAUUUUGCAGCUCAACUGUAAAAGUGCUUUAGAAACGGGUGCCCGUGAGUGCGGAUGGGGUAGGCGGAAUUUGGGGUGUAGGGGUGAAAUGCAUAGAUAUCACGAGGAACUCCGAUUGCGCAGGCAGCUUACCAAGCCGUAACUGACGCUCAAGCACGAAGGCGUGGGGAUCAAACA